GAUGAACGCUGGCGGCGUGCCUAAUACAUGCAAGUCGAGCGAACAGACGAGGAGCUUGCUCCUCUGACGUUAGCGGCGGACGGGUGAGUAACACGUGGAUAACCUACCUAUAAGACUGGGAUAACUUCGGGAAACCGGAGCUAAUCCCGGAUAAUAUAUUGAACCGCAUGGUUAAAUAGUGAAAGACGGUUUUGCUGUCACUUAUAGAUGGAUCCGCGCCGCAUUAGCUAGUUGGUAAGGUAACGGCUUACCAAGGCGACGAUGCGUAGCCGACCUGAGAGGGUGAUCGGCCACACUGGAACUGAGACACGGUCCAGACUCCUACGGGAGGCAGCAGUAGGGAAUCUUCCGCAAUGGGCGAAAGCCUGACGGAGCAACGCCGCGUGAGUGAUGAAGGUCUUCGGAUCGUAAAACUCUGUUAUUAGGGAAGAACAAAUGUGUAAGUAACUAUGCACGUCUUGACGGUACCUAAUCAGAAAGCCACGGCUAACUACGUG
Molecule: ribosomal RNA, 497 nt
Filed under: uncultured bacterium
Lineage: Bacteria
Description: partial 16S ribosomal RNA
Rfam family: Bacterial small subunit ribosomal RNA
Source: RNAcentral